This 445-nucleotide ribosomal RNA is filed under the name uncultured bacterium. Its description in RNAcentral is "partial 16S ribosomal RNA". It matches the Rfam family "Bacterial small subunit ribosomal RNA", at positions 354 to 796 of the family's 1533-position model. The record is from RNAcentral.
GUAAGGAAUAUUGGUCAAUGGGCGGGAGCCUGAACCAGCCAAGUCGCGUGAAGGAAGAAGGAUCUAUGGUUCGUAAACUUCUUUUGCAGGGGAAUAAAGUGCAGGACGUGUCCUGUUUUGUAUGUACCCUGAGAAUAAGGAUCGGCUAACUCCGUGCCAGCAGCCGCGGUAAUACGGAGGAUCCGAGCGUUAUCCGGAUUUAUUGGGUUUAAAGGGUGCGUAGGUGGUUUGAUAAGUCAGCGGUGAAAGUUUGCAGCUUAACUGUAAAAAUGCCGUUGAAACUGUCGGACUUGAGUGUAAAUGAGGUAGGCGGAAUGCGUGGUGUAGCGGUGAAAUGCAUAGAUAUCACGCAGAACUCCGAUUGCGAAGGCAGCUUACUAAGCUACAACUGACACUGAAGCACGAAAGCGUGGGGAUCAAACAGGAUUAGAAACCCGAGUAGUCC